UGGAUCCAGACUUUGAUUCUGGCUCAGGACGAACGCUGGCGGCGCGCCUAACACAUGCAAGUCGAACGAGAGAGGAAGAGCUUGCUCUUCUGAUCGAGUGGCGAACGGGUGAGUAACGCGUGAGGAACCUGCCUCAAAGAGGGGGACAACAGUUGGAAACGACUGCUAAUACCGCAUAAGCCCACGGCUCGGCAUCGAGCAGAGGGAAAAGGAGCAAUCCGCUUUGAGAUGGCCUCGCGUCCGAUUAGCUAGUUGGUGAGGUAACGGCCCACCAAGGCAACGAUCGGUAGCCGGACUGAGAGGUUGAACGGCCACAUUGGGACUGAGACACGGCCCAGACUCCUACGGGAGGCAGCAGUGGGGAAUAUUGCACAAUGGGGGAAACCCUGAUGCAGCGACGCCGCGUGGAGGAAGAAGGUCUUCGGAUUGUAAACUCCUGUUGUUGAGGAAGAUAAUGACGGUACUCAACAAGGAAGUGACGGCUAACUACGUGCCAGCAGCCGCGGUAAAACGUAGGUCACAAGCGUUGUCCGGAAUUACUGGGUGUAAAGGGAGCGCAGGCGGGCGAUCAAGUUGGAAGUGAAAUCCAUGGGCUCAACCCAUGAACUGCUUUCAAAACUGAUUGUCUUGAGUAGUGCAGAGGUAGGCGGAAUUCCCGGUGUAGCGGUGGAAUGCGUAGAUAUCGGGAGGAACACCAGUGGCGAAGGCGGCCUACUGGGCACCAACUGACGCUGAGGCUCGAAAGUGUGGGUAGCAAACAGGAUUAGAUACCCUGGUAGUCCACACCGUAAACGAUGAUUACUAGGUGUUGGAGGAUUGACCCCUUCAGUGCCGCAGUUAACACAAUAAGUAAUCCACCUGGGGAGUACGACCGCAAGGUUGCAACUCAAAUGAAUUGACGGA
Molecule: ribosomal RNA, 903 nt
Filed under: uncultured organism
Description: bacterial SSU rRNA
Rfam family: Bacterial small subunit ribosomal RNA
Source: RNAcentral